RNAcentral lists this transfer RNA (84 nucleotides) under Kofleriaceae bacterium. Its description in RNAcentral is "tRNA-Leu". It matches the Rfam family "tRNA". From Rfam's summary of the family: Transfer RNA (tRNA) molecules are approximately 80 nucleotides in length. The record is from RNAcentral. Lineage: Bacteria; Pseudomonadati; Myxococcota; Haliangiales; Kofleriaceae.
GCGAGCGUGCUGGAACUGGUAGACAGUGCAGGCUUAGGACCUGCUGAGCGAAAGCUCGUGGGGGUUCGAGUCCCCCCGCUCGCA